AUGAUUUCUAAUUGGCGGGUGCUAAGCGCCGGCGCGCCGGGCCUAAAUUUGGGCCGAUCACACCAACACCAUGCGAUUCAGCAAAUUAGAGACGUACGAUCUUCUUCCUUCUUCCCCUGUGUCCUCUUUUCUGGGAAACAUCCCCAUGGUGUUGUGGAUGAACGAUGCGCCCGGCCUAGAAGCACUGCCCAACGCAUCUCGCCGGUCGCUGCCCUCGCCGCCGGUCGCCGCCCCUCGUUGUCGUCGUCUCCUGUGUUUCUCGCCGGCUCCGUGCAUGCAGCAGCGUGUCCUGUAGUUGCAGCUCCCCAUGACGGCGAUCGCAGCUCCUGUGACGGCAACUGCAGCUCUGGCGUGCGCCUGUUCCAGCUCGCAGCACCUGUGUCGCCCUUUCCAUGGCGGCACUGCCGCCAUAGCCUGAAGCUGGUCACCGCUCAUCGUCUGCAGCUUCCAAGGACGCCGGUUGCAGCUCCUUUGGAUGCCUAUUCCAGCUUCCCGCUAUCCACGGUUGCAGCUCGCCGCAGCAGUCGGGGUUCUCAUGGACUCCGGAUAUAG
RNAcentral lists this ribosomal RNA (552 nucleotides) under Triticum aestivum (bread wheat). RNAcentral's name for it is "partial small subunit ribosomal RNA". The record is from RNAcentral. Lineage: Eukaryota; Viridiplantae; Streptophyta; Magnoliopsida; Poales; Poaceae.